UUAAAGGGAGGAAAGUCCGGGCUCCUUAGGGUAAAGUGCCAGGUAACACCUGGGAGGCGUAAGCCUACGGAAAGUGCCACAGAAAAUAUACCGCCUUUUUAGGUAAGGGUGAAAUGGUGCGGUAAGAGCGCACCGCGCAACUGGUAACAGUUGUGGCAGGGAAAACCCCACUUGGAGCAAGACCAAAUAGGAACCCAUUCUCAUUAAUUUGAGUGCACAUGACCCGUGUGGGGUUCGGGUAGGUCGCUUGAGGUAUAUGGUGACAUAUAUCCCAGAUAAAUGAUUGCCCGCG
RNAcentral lists this RNase P RNA (292 nucleotides) under Legionella busanensis. Its description in RNAcentral is "partial ribonuclease P RNA". It matches the Rfam family "Bacterial RNase P class A", at positions 36 to 321 of the family's 367-position model. Rfam says of the family: Ribonuclease P (RNase P) is a ubiquitous endoribonuclease, found in archaea, bacteria and eukarya as well as chloroplasts and mitochondria. Its best characterised activity is the generation of mature 5'-ends of tRNAs by cleaving the 5'-leader elements of precursor-tRNAs. The record is from RNAcentral. Lineage: Bacteria; Pseudomonadati; Pseudomonadota; Gammaproteobacteria; Legionellales; Legionellaceae.